RNAcentral lists this ribosomal RNA (404 nucleotides) under uncultured bacterium. RNAcentral's name for it is "bacterial SSU rRNA". It matches the Rfam family "Bacterial small subunit ribosomal RNA", at positions 355 to 774 of the family's 1533-position model. The record is from RNAcentral.
UGGGGAAUCUUGCACAAUGGGGGAAACCCUGAUGCAGCGACGCCGCGUGAGCGAUGAAGCCCUUCGGGGUGUAAAGCUCUUUCGGCAGGAACGAUAAUGACGGUACCUGAAGAAGAAGCUGCGGCUAACUACGUGCCAGCAGCCGCGGUAAUACGUAGGCAGCAAGCGUUGUUCGGAGUUACUGGGCGUAAAGAGUGUGUAGGCGGUUCUCUAAGUUCCGUGUGAAAUCUCCCGGCUCAACUGGGAGGGUGCGCGGGAAACUGGAGGGCUGGAGUAUGGGAGAGGAAAGCGGAAUUCCUGGUGUAGCGGUGAAAUGCGUAGAUAUCAGGAGGAACACCUGCGGUGUAGACAGCUUUUCUUGGACCAUCACUGACGCUGAGACACGAAAGCGUGGGUAGCAAACA